AUUAAUUAACAUAUAUAUAUAUAUAUAUAUAUAUCUAUUAGCUACUUAUAAUUAACAACAACUUCAUAUAUAUUAUCAAAUCAUCAACCAAAUACGAUCAACACACAUAUAUAUAUAUAUAUACAUCAAACGUAUACUCAAAAUCUAUCAAUUUAAUCACACUCAAAAUCGAUCAAUAACUCAAAUAAAACUCAAAAUCAACAUAUAUACACAUGUACGUACCUAUAUAUAGCUCCACUUCUUAAUAAUGGACAGAUUUCAACAACACCCAAACUUUUUCUCCCAUUUUUUCUUCUCCCGUUUUCUUUUCUCAGAUGAGCUGCUGUCCAGAUCUGCGAAUAUAAAGAACUUUAGCCGACGAAAUUAUAUUUUCGUCGGCUAUAGUCAACUUUAGCCGACGAAAUUAAAAUUUCGUCGGCUAAAGAAAGUUUAAAGUCGUCGGCUAAAGUCACAGACUUUAGACCGACGAAAAAAAAUUCUUUAGCCGACGAAAUUUUAAUUUCGUCGGCUAAAGUUGACUAUAGCCGACGAAAAUAUAAUUUAGCCGACGAAGGAAAAUUUCGUCGUCUAAAGUGUACUUUAGCCGACGAAAAAUUGUUUCGUCGGCCUGUUUUUUUUUUUCGUCGGCUAAAGUCUUUCUUCUGGUAGUGUACUUGAACCAUUUAGAAGGAUUGAAAGAAGCUACGAAAAGCUGCAAUCCCGAGAGUGCAUAAAAAUUUCCGCGCAGAAUGACCUUUGCGCACUAAAACAGCCAUAACUUCUUCGUUAAAAUAGAUAUGGACGAACCGUGAAAAGUUCUGAAAACUAGACUCAUAGAGCUUUCCAAUGAUAUAAAGCUCACUGUCUGGUUUGUCCGGAGCUGUUCACAAAGCUCAAACGAAGUUGACUGUCCAGAAGGGACAGAUUGCUGUUUUUCGCAGAUUUGGCAUGUGCGAAGCUGUGAAGCUUGCAGGUGGCGUGUAGGCUUUUGCCUUAGCCAAAAGUGACGUGUGUAUGAUCAAAACCAAGUCCUUUCGGUCGUUCUAAGGUCGUAAACUCCAUGACUAGUUAACAAAAGCUCCUUGACAUGAACAUAAACUAACUCAGAGGACCUAGAGGAUCCGAUCAUGAUGAUAAUUUUCCAGCUUUGAUAAGUCUUCAACGUCUUUUGCAAGACGGCAAUUGGUUUAAUAGCGUAGGGGGAUCCGAAAAUCAAAGCUUCGGUAACUCCAAGUCUGU
RNAcentral lists this long non-coding RNA (1218 nucleotides) under Fragaria vesca (wild strawberry). RNAcentral's name for it is "long non-coding RNA (FVES_LNC004268)". The record is from RNAcentral. Lineage: Eukaryota; Viridiplantae; Streptophyta; Magnoliopsida; Rosales; Rosaceae.